UGAGGGAAGGUAGUUGCGGAGGAAGUGAAAGCUGACUCUGAGGAAAGUCCGGGCUCCCGAAAGACCAGACUUGCUGGAUAACGCCCAGUGCGAGCGAUCGUGAGGAUAGUGCCACAGAAAGAUACCGCCAAUUAGUCAUUUGUCAAUAGUCAUUUGUCAACAAAACAAAGGAAUAUUGACCUAGAACCAAGGACUAAAUUGGUAAGGGUGCAAAGGUGCGGUAAGAGCGCACCAGCAGCAUCGAGAGGUGCUGGCUCGGUAAACCCCGGUGGGGAGCAAGGUCGUAGGAACUAAGGUUGGUCUUUUUCCAGUUCCGCUCAAAAGAACCGCUAGAGNUACAAUCGGUUUUUGCGUAAUUUAUGGUUGUUCUUGGUAACUUUUUAUACCAAAAUGUCCCAAAUCGGUUU
Molecule: RNase P RNA, 407 nt
Filed under: Symploca sp. SIO1B1
Lineage: Bacteria; Bacillati; Cyanobacteriota; Cyanophyceae; Coleofasciculales; Coleofasciculaceae
Description: RNase P RNA component class A
Rfam family: Bacterial RNase P class A
About the family: Ribonuclease P (RNase P) is a ubiquitous endoribonuclease, found in archaea, bacteria and eukarya as well as chloroplasts and mitochondria. Its best characterised activity is the generation of mature 5'-ends of tRNAs by cleaving the 5'-leader elements of precursor-tRNAs.
Source: RNAcentral